RNAcentral lists this transfer RNA (77 nucleotides) under Sphenostylis stenocarpa. Its description in RNAcentral is "tRNA gene-AYBTSS11_LOCUS24806". The record is from RNAcentral. Lineage: Eukaryota; Viridiplantae; Streptophyta; Magnoliopsida; Fabales; Fabaceae.
GUUAUUAUCAAAUAGUUUAGUGGUUAGAGUAUUAGUUUCCAAUUCUAAAAUCUUGAGUUCGAAUCCUAGUAGUGACA